UACAGAGGGUGCUAGCGUUAUUCGGAAUUACUGGGCGUAAAGCGCAUGUAGGCGGUUCGGUAAGUCUGAUGUGAAAUCCCCCGGCUCAAUCGGGGAAGUGCAUCGGAUACUGCCGGACUGGAGUAUAGGAUGGGAGAACGGAAUUCCAGGUGUAGAGGUGAAAUUCGUAGAUAUCUGGAGGAACAACGGCGGCGAAGGCGGUUCUCUGGACUAUAACUGACGCUGAGAUGCGAAAGCGUGGGGAGCAAACAGG
This 253-nucleotide ribosomal RNA is filed under the name uncultured bacterium. RNAcentral's name for it is "partial 16S ribosomal RNA". It matches the Rfam family "Bacterial small subunit ribosomal RNA", at positions 524 to 776 of the family's 1533-position model. The record is from RNAcentral.